This is a long non-coding RNA of Alexandromys fortis (reed vole), 1484 nucleotides long. RefSeq lists it as uncharacterized. The record is from RefSeq and is a predicted model, not a curated record. The transcript has 3 exons. NCBI's taxonomy places the organism in Eukaryota, Metazoa, Chordata, Mammalia, Rodentia, Cricetidae.
UGGACUCUUGGGAAUCCCACGUGACAAGUCUGAAAGUCACCUCUCCUGGAAUAUUUCAAAUACAAACCUGGUUUUCCAAGCCCUGCUGAAGUAUGCUAUCAGCGAUUGAGCCGGGAGCGUAUGAGAGAAAGAAGAAAAUGCUGAAGGGACCUGAAAAGAUGAUCAGUGAAACAGCAAGCACAAAUCACAAAAUGACUUCAGAAAAAUAAACAUUCAGACAAGAGACAACCUAAUGAUGGGAGAAUGUCUUGGCAAACUACACAGCUAACAAAAGAUUAAUAUCAAGGUAAAGAAUUUCGAAUUAAACACAAAAAAGCCAAAUCGACCAACCUAUACAUGAUCUAAUGAUCUGAAUGGAGAGUUCUUAAAAUAAGAAACAGAAAUGGCAAAUAAAUACUUUAAAUUGCUGACCUCAGCCAUCAAGAAAACGUAAAUUAAAACUACUGUGAGAUUCCAUUUCUCCCAGCCAUACUGGCUACCAUCAAGAAGACAGAGGGCAAUGAAUACUGGAAAAAAUGUGAAAAAAAAGUGGAAACCAUAUUUACUACUGGUAUUUAUAUGCACCUGAAGAACUGAAGACAUGGAUCCAAAGGCAUGCAUGUAUACAAAUGAUCAUAGUUGAAUUAUUUACAAGAUCCAAAAUUGUAAAUAGGCUAAAUUUCUAGAAAUUUAAUAGAUGAAUGGAUAAACAAAAUGUGAUAUAUAAUCCAAUGAGAAAUCAUUCAGCUAUAAAAAGGAAUAAAAUUGAGAUACAUAUUCUAACAUGGAUGAACUCUGACCAUGUUAUGCUAAGGUAAACAAGCCAAAAACAAUAGAGCAUUUAUUGUAUGAUUUAAAUAAAAUUCCUUUAAUAGGGCAAUUCAUACAGAAAUUUGAAGAGUUACCAAGGAGUUAGGGGAAGAGGAAAUGAGAAUUACUGCUUAGGCUUCUGGCAUUUCAUCUCAAUAAAAAUAUAUAUGUAAGAAAAAGAAAACUAUAAAAAAUACCCUCAAAAUAGCAAUUCGGGUAUAUGCAUGUAUAUGUGCAUGUGUGCAUGUGUUUGUGUGUGGAGAUCAGAGGUCAACCUUAGGUGUCACUCCUCUAGAGAUAAAGAACCUUGUGAGAUUCUCUCACUGGGGCCGAGUACUUGCUGAACAGUUUGUGCUGGCUGACCUCCAAGCACCCAGGGAUCUGUCUGUCUCUGCCUCUGUCACCAAGCCCACAUUUUACAUAAAUGCUAGGGAAUCUAAACUCAGGUCGUCAUGAGUUUAGACAUGAGUUUAGUACAGCAAGCACUUUACUGACUGAGCCAUCUCCCCAGAAUGGGAGUGAAUUUUUAUAGUCUUGAAUCAGUUAUGCCUUUGAAUAUGACAUAAAAUGAGGAACCACAAAUAUAUCAUUAUUUAGCUGCGUACUUAGAAUAAAAUUAUUUAAAUACCAAAGUACGCCUUCCUUUCAUUAAUUGUCAAACUGGGUAAAAGUAUUUUUAAUAUACAAUGAAAGGU